RNAcentral lists this ribosomal RNA (173 nucleotides) under uncultured bacterium. RNAcentral's name for it is "partial 16S ribosomal RNA". It matches the Rfam family "Bacterial small subunit ribosomal RNA", at positions 1320 to 1500 of the family's 1533-position model. The record is from RNAcentral.
AUGAAGCUGGAUUCGCUAGUAAUCGCGCAUCAGCCACGGCGCGGUGAAUACGUUCCCGGGCCUUGUACACACCGCCCGUCAAGCCAUGGAAGCCGGGGGUGCCUGAAGUGUGCAGCCGCAAGGAGCGCCCUAAGGUAAAACCGGUGACUGGGGCUAAGUCGUAACAAGGUAGC